UUCAGUUGCUUUAUGAUCGUGAAGAGAAAACAUUUCUUUGAUUUCUUCUGUAAACACUAUCUUUAUUCUCUUGCCUGAUCUGGUUUGAUUUCAAGUCUGUAUUUAAAAAUCUAAACUUGAGUAGCCCGUAGUGGCUGUAGAUAGGCAAGACAGAUGAAGCAGAAUCUACAUUUUCUUUCAUUUUUAAAGUUCCCUCUUGUAUGUACCAGUUUUAAGCUCUAUAUACUGCUUGUGUUGUAGCAACUCUCUCUUUGGAAGUUAUUGCUUUAAAUGGCAAAGUAUGAUUCAAUUAUACAUGUGCAUAUGUCGUAAAAUUUAGUCAACCUUUAUCUUCGUUUUCUCAUUCAAACCUCCAAUUCCUCUAUCCUUAUUGGAAGAUACUGCUUCGUAUACUUGAAUUUAGUGGCGGGAUAGAUUUAGCAAUAUAGUAUGUAACAGUAAAUGAAAACAUGAAGUUUACAAUUUUUUUUUUUAUUUUACGGUGGAUAUAUCUUGUAUUGAUGUAUGUGGUUGUGCUCGUGUCAAUGCAAUUGAUGUUUCAUUCACUUUUAGCUUUCCGAAGUGAGAAAAUAAGCCUCACUUCUUCCUGAUGUGUAAAUAUACUGAAGCCUGCUAGUAUCAUCUAAGAGUUGGUGUUUUUCCCUCUCUGACACCCUAUGUUGUACUGGCUUUGAAUCAUGUGCAUAUGUCGUAAAAUUUAGUCAACCUUUAUCUUCGUUUUCUCAUUCAAACCUCCAAUUCCUCUAUCCUUAUUGGAAGAUACUGCUUCGUAUACUUGAAUUUAGUGGCGGGAUAGAUUUAGCAAUAUAGUAUGUAACAGUAAAUGAAAACAUGAAGUUUACAAUUUUUUUUUUUAUUUU
Molecule: long non-coding RNA, 860 nt
Filed under: Nicotiana benthamiana
Lineage: Eukaryota; Viridiplantae; Streptophyta; Magnoliopsida; Solanales; Solanaceae
Description: long non-coding RNA (NBEN_LNC022804)
Source: RNAcentral